This 1690-nucleotide long non-coding RNA is filed under the name Junco hyemalis (dark-eyed junco). Its description in RNAcentral is "lncRNA (ENSJHYG00000002644.1)". Lineage: Eukaryota; Metazoa; Chordata; Aves; Passeriformes; Passerellidae. The record is from RNAcentral.
GCUUUUUACUUCAGAUUUGCCGGGUGCUGCCAGAUGUGCUAUCGCAUUUCCUCAGAUUGAACCCAGAGUUUGCUGCCUACGUGCCUGAUGCUGCAACUCCUGCAACACCUGCACUUGCCCCAGCUAGAGGAGAUGGGUGUAAGGAGGCCAGUUCAACAUCCAGUGUGAAAACAAUGGCCACAGAAUUCAUCAGAGCAUUGAUCAAUAACACCAAGAAAGGUGCCAGGAUGUGUUCUUGACCACACUGUGCAAGCAAUCCCAUCUGCUGCUGGAUCUACCUGAACAACUCACCGUGGAGCCACUAGUCAGCUCCGCUCAUUUAGGGGCAAAUCCUCCAGCUCUCAGCAAGAGGAAGACUUGAAGAGGCGCCAGAUAGGUUCGCUCACGCACAGAAGACAAGAAACCACAUUGUUGUUGCAGGCUGCCCCCAGAAGGCACGGAGGAUGUGACCCAUUUUUGCUGCUGUGCCAGCUCCUGUGCUGCGCACAAAGUUCCUGCUGCAGACCACGGAGACCUUCCCAGAGAGCUCUGCCUGCACAGCCCGGCCAGCGAUUUCUGCCUGCUCUGCAGCUAAUCAACAGCUCUGGGAAUUGCCAAGGAAUUACAUUCUUCCUCACAAAACAAGCUCCUGAGCUUCUCGCUGCUGUUAGCAUUUGCCUACUACUGCAGUGUUUGGCUCUCAACUACUAAGAUACUCUGCAGUGAGAAUGCUUGCAGCAUGCACAUGGGUACCUCCCUAAUUUAGUUGAAUAUUGCUUUACAUAAUCCCAAGUUUGGUAUUCCUGUGGCUCAUGUAGAUCCUUACCUACGCAUGUGGAAAAUGUUCUGCCUUCUGAAGAUGACCCUUCCUCCACAAAAGCCUGGUUGCCCAGACUCCAGCGGUCCUGCCACAGGAAAGGUCCUGGCCUCAUGUCAGACCAGGGAGAAUGAGAACCUCGCUCCCAUGGAUGCUCCAAGCCUUGUGCACCCUGUGCCCACCUACCCAUCACUGCCUCCAUCAGAGACCAGCUGGGACACUGCAGAGCAGGGAAACACAGGGCAGAUCUUUUUUCCCCCCAGAAAGUUCCAAGCGCUACAAGCAAGCAAGGACCAGAGCCUGGGAAAUGGUUACGGGGGGGUAAGUAACAAUUACAGAGCGGUCUUGGUUGGAAGAGAUCUUGAAGACCAUGAUGCUAUAAACACCCUGGGGAAAAAAAACAACAAACAAAACUGUUGCUGACUCCCGACCCUGGCCAGAGUCCGGAAUGGGUUUUCCUUUUUGCCGACUCCAUUCUGGACCCCAGCCGGAAUCUGAUCCAGGUUUUCCAAUUUGCUGUCUCCAUUCCAGAAUCUGGUUGGAAUCCAGUCCAGGUUUUCCAUUUUGCUGACUUCAUUCCGGACUCCGGCCAGAAUCUGGACACUAACUGGAAUCCGGUCCGGAUUUUCCAAUUUUCCGACUCCAUUCCAGACUCCAGCCGUAAUCCUGCUUGGGUUUUUCUUUUUGCCGACUCCACUCCUGACUCUGUCCGGAAUCCGGGGUUUCUUGAGGUCAGUUGGGGUUUCUUGAGGUCAUUUGAGUCCCUGCUGGGGUUACUUGAGAGCAUUUGUUUCGAGGAAAAUAUACAAACACCAGAGGUUUUUGUCCUCAAAUAGGAGGCUGAGGAGUCCUUCAUCUUUAUUCGAAUAAAGGGAGAGAGAAUCCAGUGGGGCA